Non-coding RNA from Ciona savignyi (Pacific transparent sea squirt), 93 nucleotides. NCBI's taxonomy places the organism in Eukaryota, Metazoa, Chordata, Ascidiacea, Phlebobranchia, Cionidae. The record is from Rfam.
GCUUAUCACCAUUCCAGAUUGAAUAUACCCGAUCUCGUCUGAUCUCGGAAGUCAAGCAAUCUCGGGCUUGGUUAGUACUUGGAUGGGUGACCG